AAUGAUCUGGAGUGUGUUUGCAUAUUGAUCAGAUGCUUCAGUGCUCUGAGAGUGUUUAUAGUGCUGUGAGUUUAACACUUCAUCACUGACACACACAACAAUCUUCAUCAACAUGACCUUCAUCAUCAUCUUCAUCUGGACUCUCACAGCGUUUGCUCAAGAGUGUAGAGGACAGAUCACUGUCACUCAGAGUCCCUCAAUGACAGCAGCUCAACCAGGAGAAACAGUCAAAAUCAAUUGUAAAACCAGCACAAAUGUGCGCAGAUGGAAUGAUGGCGAUGAAGGUUUAGCCUGGUACUUACAGAAACCUGGAGAAUCUCCUAAACUCCUGAUUUAUUAUGUAAAAAAGCUUGAGUCAGGAACUCCAUCUAGAUUCAGUGGCAGUGGAUCUGGGACUGAUUUCACUCUGACCAUCAGUGGAGUCCAGACUGAAGAUGCUGGACAUUAUUACUGUCAGAGUUACUACUGCAGAACAAAUUCUCAAAAUAAAUGUGAGGGUGAUGUUGUGUUCACACAGUGAUAAAGAGUCGUACAAAAA
Labeo rohita (rohu) is the source of this 538-nucleotide non-coding RNA. The record is from the annotation of a RefSeq genome assembly. Lineage: Eukaryota; Metazoa; Chordata; Actinopteri; Cypriniformes; Cyprinidae.